This 71-nucleotide transfer RNA is filed under the name Nothofagus cunninghamii. RNAcentral describes it as "Lophozonia cunninghamii tRNA-Gly". The stretch from base 1 to 49 matches the Rfam family "tRNA", at positions 23 to 71 of the family's 71-position model. From Rfam's summary of the family: Transfer RNA (tRNA) molecules are approximately 80 nucleotides in length. Their secondary structure includes four short double-helical elements and three loops (D, anti-codon, and T loops). Lineage: Eukaryota; Viridiplantae; Streptophyta; Magnoliopsida; Fagales; Nothofagaceae. The record is from RNAcentral.
AUUUCUCUUUGCCAAGGAGAAGAUGCGGGUUCAAUUCCCGCUAUCCGCCCAGGACAAUAGGUUAAUGUUUU